This 253-nucleotide ribosomal RNA is filed under the name uncultured bacterium. RNAcentral describes it as "partial 16S ribosomal RNA". It matches the Rfam family "Bacterial small subunit ribosomal RNA", at positions 524 to 776 of the family's 1533-position model. The record is from RNAcentral.
UACAGAGGGGGCGAGCGUUGUUCGGAAUUACUGGGCGUAAAGGGCGCGUAGGCGGCCAACUAAGUCAGACGUGAAAUCCCUCGGCUCAACCGGGGAACUGCGUCUGAUACUGGAUGGCUUGAAUUCGGGAGAGGGAUGCGGAAUUCCAGGUGUAGCGGUGAAAUGCGUAGAUAUCUGGAGGAACACCGGUGGCGAAGGCGGCAUCCUGGACCGAGAUUGACGCUGAGGCACGAAAGCGUGGGGAGCAAACAGG